RNAcentral lists this ribosomal RNA (1021 nucleotides) under Lophiotrema vagabundum. RNAcentral's name for it is "SSU rRNA". It matches the Rfam family "Eukaryotic small subunit ribosomal RNA", at positions 75 to 1103 of the family's 1831-position model. The record is from RNAcentral. Lineage: Eukaryota; Fungi; Ascomycota; Dothideomycetes; Pleosporales; Lophiotremataceae.
UAUACCGUGAAACUGCGAAUGGCUCAUUAAAUCAGUUAUCGUUUAUUUGAUAGUACCUUACUACUUGGAUAACCGUGGUAAUUCUAGAGCUAAUACAUGCUAAAAACCCCAACUUCGGGAGGGGUGUAUUUAUUAGAUAAAAAACCAAUGCCCUCCGGGGCUCUUUGGUGAUUCAUGAUAACUUAACGGAUCGCAUGGCCUUGCGCCGGCGACGGUUCAUUCAAAUUUCUGCCCUAUCAACUUUCGAUGGUAAGGUAUUGGCUUACCAUGGUUUCAACGGGUAACGGGGAAUUAGGGUUCGAUUCCGGAGAGGGAGCCUGAGAAACGGCUACCACAUCCAAGGAAGGCAGCAGGCGCGCAAAUUACCCAAUCCCGACUCGGGGAGGUAGUGACAAUAAAUACUGAUACAGGGCUCUUUUGGGUCUUGUAAUCGGAAUGAGUACAAUUUAAACCCCUUAACGAGGAACAAUUGGAGGGCAAGUCUGGUGCCAGCAGCCGCGGUAAUUCCAGCUCCAAUAGCGUAUAUUAAAGUUGUUGCAGUUAAAAAGCUCGUAGUUGAACCUUGGGCCUGGCUGGCCGGUCCGCCUCACCGCGUGUACUGGUCCGGCCGGGCCUUUCCUUCUGGAGAGCCGCAUGCCCUUCACUGGGUGUGUCGGGGAACCAGGACUUUUACUUUGAAAAAAUUAGAGUGUUCAAAGCAGGCCUUUGCUCGAAUACGUUAGCAUGGAAUAAUAGAAUAGGACGUGCGGUCCUAUUUUGUUGGUUUCUAGGACCGCCGUAAUGAUUAAUAGGGAUAGUCGGGGGCAUCAGUAUUCAAUUGUCAGAGGUGAAAUUCUUGGAUUUAUUGAAGACUAACUACUGCGAAAGCAUUUGCCAAGGAUGUUUUCAUUAAUCAGUGAACGAAAGUUAGGGGAUCGAAGACGAUCAGAUACCGUCGUAGUCUUAACCGUAAACUAUGCCGACUAGGGAUCGGGCGAUGUUUCUAUCUUGACUCGCUCGGCACCUUACGAGAAAUCAUAAG